This 160-nucleotide ribosomal RNA is filed under the name Cytospora hoffmannii. RNAcentral's name for it is "Valsa nivea 5.8S ribosomal RNA". It matches the Rfam family "5.8S ribosomal RNA". From Rfam's summary of the family: 5.8S ribosomal RNA (5.8S rRNA) is a component of the large subunit of the eukaryotic ribosome. It is transcribed by RNA polymerase I as part of the 45S precursor that also contains 18S and 28S rRNA. Lineage: Eukaryota; Fungi; Ascomycota; Sordariomycetes; Diaporthales; Cytosporaceae. The record is from RNAcentral.
CAAAACUUUCAACAACGGAUCUCUUGGUUCUAGCAUCGAUGAAGAACGCAGCGAAAUACGAUAAGUAAUGUGAAUUACAGAAUUCAGUGAAUCAUCGAAUCUUUAAACGCAUAUUGCGCCCUCUAGUAUUCCAGAGGGCAUACCUGUUCGAGCGUCAUUU